GUCUACGGCCAUACCACCUUGAACGCACCUGAUCUCGUCUGAUCUUGCAAGCUAAGCAGGGUCAGGCCUGGUUUAGUACUUGGAUGGAAGAAAAAAUGAAUUUAGAGUAUCCGUUCUUU
This is a ribosomal RNA of Ochotona princeps (American pika), 119 nucleotides long. NCBI's taxonomy places the organism in Eukaryota, Metazoa, Chordata, Mammalia, Lagomorpha, Ochotonidae. The record is from Ensembl.